CAUGAGCCGUCAGCCCGCAUGUCCGCUCGCACACCAGGCGCCACUCCCCCGCUCCCCCGCUCCAGCCGCCUCUCCUCCGCUCCCCUCCCCUCUCACGAACCCUAGCGCCGCCACACCCCGCGCAACGGCCACAUCCCUUCCCGCUCUCCGCUCGCCGCACAGCCGCCGCAUCCCUGCCCGCUCUCCACCCACCUCGGUCGGCCCCUCCCACACCUCUCCUCUGCCCCGAGACCCCCAGCCACCCAACCCCAACUCCGGCGGUCUCCUCUCCCUCCAGCGCCGCCGCUCUAUCCUCUUCCGUGACCCUCACCUUCCUUCCUCUUCAAAGGAAGGGAUGGGAAGGGAAGGGGAGGGGAGGCCCUAGAUCGAGCGGAGCGACACAGCGGCACCGGCACAGCCGGCGGCGAUGGCUUUCUGGCAGGCACGCCACUUCUUGUUUUGCAGCGUGUGCGGCACCCUCCUCGACUUCAACUCCCAAGCAUCCUUGUGUGUUGUGUCUGAAAAUCCUGUGGCUAAUGCAAGACAUGCCCCUUGUUUUCUCAAAAUCAAUGAAUGGUUCCAGGCAAAUAACUAGGUGGCUUAAAAUGGAGGCUUGCAUGCCCAAGGCAGGUGGUUAAGGCCCUCUUUAGUUGGUGUGGCAGUGGUGAGUGGAAUGCACGAUGCAGCAGCCUGGAGAAGUGGCCAACACGGCUUAGGAAGCGCCCCACCUGUGAAGCGAUACAUCUGAUGCCAACAUACCAAGGGACUUGAACUCAUGGACAAGGCAUCAUCCUUAUUGCAAGAUAUAAUCCUGGCCGGCGGAAGUACAGUGACACAAAGAACCCGGGCGCCGUCUGCUUCCUGCAUCGGCAAGCAAGCGGCGGAGCUUCCAACGGGCAGAAAUGCGUGCAUGUUGGACUUAUGACAUAACUGAAGUAUGUAACUGUAUUUUGUUAUUCCAUCUCUUUCUUAUUUUGUUAUGUGCUUAUACUUCAAACAUAGGUUAGGGACCUAGAAUACAUCCUGUGCGGUUACCAUCAAAGUUGUAGUUGUAGGUUAUAGUUACUACCCUUCAGAAAUAAUCACGAGUUGGCCUAUCAUUGUUGUCAGGAACGCACAUUAUUGCCCUUAUUGGGUACGUUCAUUUUUCCUUAAAAAAAGGUAAUGCACACGACACGAUAGGGAUACAUCAUGCACAACAUCGGAAAAUGCUAUAUAAAGGAGGAGGGUCGUACAAUACAUCUUGCUAAAUUAUGGUGUGUCUCUGUAGUACCCAAGGGUCCAAGAGAGUCUUACAAUAAAAUGCUACAUAUAACUAAAAGAGGAGAGUCCCUGCUGUGAGUAGCAAGUCAAUUUCUACCAGGGAAAACUAAUAAAUUCAUUUUGUUUUUCAAUGCUAAAUUUACUCGAAGAUUAUAUUUCUGUAUUUCCAAUAUGGUGUGAAAUGAGCGUACUGUAAUAAUUAUGGAUAACUUGUCGCUUCUGACAAAGUGCUCCACACACGACAAUGUCGGGACGAUAACUGCAUGACCAAGGGAUCCAGCGGCCGCUGCUGGGCUGGGCUCGAGAUUCCUCGGCUGGAUUUAAUCAUCGUGCACGAGUCGUCCAAACUCUAUCGUCCCCGUAGCACUGCUCCAAGCUAAUAGUCUGAGUGUGUGUCUUCUUCAUUUUUACGUUCAUCAGUUUGUACUUUUUUUUUUUGAAAUAUUCAAUAUAUUUGACAGUAGGUCUGGUUUUGCCUAUCUUUCCUUGGUGUUGCCUCCAAAUUGAUUUCUUUUUUUCUUUCAAGCUACAACAGUGAGUUCACCUAAGUAUCUUGAUGUGUCCUCGUAUAUGUUUGGCUUUUUGUUGGAAUGUUGUUGGUUGUCCUGUGAAGCGACACUUCUGAUGCCAACAUACCAAGGUGAGCUUCACCUACUUCCCCACUCUGUAUAUAUGCAAGCCUGUGUGAUGUACUCUGCUUCUUCCUCCCCUUUUAAUUAAUUAAUCUCUUACUAAGCAGAGCAUGCUUCAAUGAUCUGUGGCUCCGAAGGGAAUUUACUACUAGGAAUAUAUGCAAUGUUUGGUUAUCUAUGUCCAUCUAACUGUCAAAAACAUCUGUGGAAUGCAAAAUGGACUGUGUAAUACUUCUUGAAGAGGCAAUGCUUGUUAUCUGUAUGCAAGUUUCUAACCGCAUUAGCAGGAAAACGUUUGGUUUCCGUUAGUGUAAUCUUCAAUAUAUCAUUUUUGCUGCUUGGAACCAGACCUUCGAACUUCUGUUCCGCAUGAUAUUUAUUCUCCGGUGAAGUAGUAAAAUAAAUGCAUAGUCUGCCGGCCCUCGCUAAGAGCCCAGCUGAUUUAAAAUGUGCCAGUGUGCUCCUUCUAUAUCUACAUGUGAUGCACAUUUAUGUCUGACCAAUCCAUUGGAUUGAAUUUGUACUGCAGGUUUUACUAAAAAAAUCCAUUACCAUCACAAGCUGUAUGUGGCACAGGUGCUUAUUUAGGCAAUGCGUAGUCUUAAUGUGAGGAGGUGCCGAGAUACACAAAGGGUUGGAGCAGGACUGCAGGAGGAGGCGAGGAUAUGUUUUGUUUCAGAUCCACCUGAUUAAUCCCAAAUUUUUGCAAGUUUGGAUUACUCUGAGCAAUUCUCUCCGAAGUUGAGAGUACUCUGAGCACUGCCCAUAGCGCGCCACGACGACUGUUUGCACAUCAGGAGCCUCGCGACGCAGUCCUCAUAUGACCACAUCCUCAGAAGACAAUAACAAGUCUGCUUAUUCAUGCAUGCACACCCUCAGAAGACCACAAUCGGCCUGAGAAAUCUUCUCUGCUCAAACUAUGUAUGCUUAUAUACAUGAGGCAUCUCUGCCUAUGUUGCUUGCUUUUUGAAAGCAUUGUAAAUGGCUAUCAAAACUUCUUAUAAUGCUAUGUAUCAGCAUCGUACCUAAGUAUAUAUUUCCUUGUGACUAAAUAUUCUGACGAGCUU
Non-coding RNA from Triticum urartu, 2941 nucleotides. NCBI's taxonomy places the organism in Eukaryota, Viridiplantae, Streptophyta, Magnoliopsida, Poales, Poaceae. The record is from RefSeq and is a predicted model, not a curated record.